UACCUCAAAGUCGCUCAUCAACGAACCCUCUCACGCUCUCAAACUCAAAGAAUCACUCUCUCUCAACUCUCACGAUAUCUCCAUUAACAAGCAAGUGAAAAGGAUAAAAGGAAAAAAGGAGAAGCUCUUACAAAGUGUCACGGCGGUGGUGAAAGGCGUGAAGAAGCUGGCUCCCAAUCCAGGUAAUCGAUUUUGGGAUUUAGGGUUUUGUUUGAGAUUUCCGCCUCUGAUUUUCUGUUUGUUGAUUCCUCCUCUCUUACUGAUUUUCUCUCUCUAUUUAUCUCCCAGCUUAGGGUUUCGAAUUGGUGCCCUUGUGUUCAAAAGCGUAUCUCUGCAAAAUCCUCUUUGAUGUUCUCUGCUAACAAUGGACGGCGAAGAAGAAGAUGAACAAGUGAUAGCUGAAGAAGUUGAAGCCAUGAAAUCCGUUAUGAAAACGAUUGUACCAUUCUCAAUUCCAUUCCUCCUCACUUCCAUUUAUCCCUUAAACCCAGAACCGCUGAUGUUUCUUCUCACCAGGUUCCCAAUUUUUCUUCAAACCCCUAAUUUCAUUUUUUUUAACUUUUCAUAAUUCUAAUUCAAUUAUUCAUUAAUUAAUCC
This 597-nucleotide long non-coding RNA is filed under the name Lathyrus oleraceus (garden pea). Its description in RNAcentral is "Pisum sativum (pea) long non-coding RNA (PSAT_LNC009413)". The record is from RNAcentral. Lineage: Eukaryota; Viridiplantae; Streptophyta; Magnoliopsida; Fabales; Fabaceae.